RNAcentral lists this transfer RNA (105 nucleotides) under Candidatus Bathyarchaeota archaeon. RNAcentral describes it as "tRNA-OTHER". It matches the Rfam family "tRNA". Rfam says of the family: Transfer RNA (tRNA) molecules are approximately 80 nucleotides in length. The record is from RNAcentral. Lineage: Archaea; Thermoproteati; Candidatus Bathyarchaeota.
GGGGCUGUCGGCUAGCUUGGUCUAGGCUUGGAGACUCGGGCUCUCUAAGUGCAGGGCUUUGCGCCUUGUAUGGGAAGGACCCCGGUUCAAAUCCGGGCAGCCCCA